CCAGGAUGACUUCUGAAAAUCCAGGACUGUCCCUGGAAAAUAGGGGCACUUGGAGGGUCUUGCCUUCCCAUUCUGAAGGAGGAGCCAGAGUGGUCCAGCUUUAGUGGGGAGGCUGUUGUCAAGGCAACCAUGACUCACCCAGCCCAGCCUAUGUGACAUCACUCACUGCUGGCUUCUAGGGACCAACUGCAACUGAUCAGCAGUUGGCAGUGAGGAGCAGGAGUGAAAGAGUUGGCGGUGAGUUUGAAGUCCUGGCCCCCAAGGCAAUGAUCAGGUCCAUUGCUGCGGCCCUCCUCUGCCUCAUCCGGACUUCCCAGAGCUUCAAGAGGCUGUGAGAGCUGCUGCAAGAGGAACAAGGUCCACCCCAUGGUCUCAAAGGAAGAUCCUUGUGGGUCGUCCAGGAGGUGGAAACAGGCAAGUCUGGGGCUCCAGGUGAGCAAUUGUUCUGUUGCUGAGAGGAAGAUGAUUGCGAGGCCUGUAAGACUCUGAUGAUAAUGGAGUCCGGAGGAGACUGACCUCUGCUUGGAGGAGACUUGGAGGAAGGCAGAGGUGGUUAAUUUGUAUUUUACUUUAUUUUUGACCUUUUUCCUUUGUUUCACCUGCAGAGUUGCCAGCCCAGGGCCCACCGUUGGAGCUCCACUCUUUGAGGAGGUUCACGGUGGAGCCCUUGGGAAGAUGAUCUUCAUGUGGCCGGGCGAACUUGGGAAGGGUACCUCAGCCUCCACCAUCUUUGGCAUUUAAAGCCGAGCUCUGGGAGGCAGUGGGGGGGCAGUCCUUGGAUAGGACAUGCCAGCAUGCCCCCCAAAGGCACCCUGGGGGCCGGAGAGACCGCCUCUGGUGCCCACAGGUUCACCUUUCGCCCCCACCGAAAUCAGGCUUGAAAUGAACAUCUUUUGGUAGCCAACAGAA
Molecule: long non-coding RNA, 909 nt
Organism: Podarcis raffonei (Aeolian wall lizard)
Lineage: Eukaryota; Metazoa; Chordata; Lepidosauria; Squamata; Lacertidae
Exons: 2
Source: RefSeq, a predicted model, not a curated record